GCGACAACGGAGCGAGAAGGGAGCGAGAAGGGAGCGGGCACCGGGGAUGGAGCUGCGAGGGCUGCUUCUGUGUCUCAGUCUCAGCCUCUACACGGUGCUGCCGAGCCUGCCCGGAGCCUGCGGUACCUGCCAGCAGCCACCAAGGUUUGCCUUUGCGGAGCCCCCACUGCCCCUGGAGGGGUCCUACGCCGAGGGGACCACACUGAGAUACCGGUGCCGCCCGGGGUACAGGUUGGCGAUGGGCAAGUCCCCCAUCGUCACCUGCCUCUCCAACACCCAAUGGUCAGCGAACCCUGACUUCUGCAUUGGGAAGUCCUGUGCUCCACCGGAGAUCACGAACGGCAAGUUUGACUACACGACUGACCUGCUGUUAGGGGCAACGAUAACCUUCACCUGUAAUGCCGGGUACCGCUUAGUUGGAACGCCGUCUGCGCAAUGUGUAGUUACAGGCAAUGAAGUUUCUUGGGACGGCACUCCACACUGCACCAUUAUUCCCUGUUCACCACCUCCUGCGAUCGAGAACGGGAAGCUCUUCAACGGCGACAGAGACUUUGUCUUCGGCAUGGCUGCGACGUACAGCUGUAACAAAGGUUUUUCUCUUAUUGGAGAUACCACCAUUCACUGCACGAUGGAUGAUAACCUCGAGGGAGUAUGGAGCGGUCCAGCUCCUGAAUGCAAAACUGUCAGAUGUGAAGAUCCAGAAGUGGAAAAUGGGAGCAGGUUAUCUGGCUUUGGCACUGAGCACACGUAUAAAGAUACAGUGACCUUCGCGUGCAAACCUGGUUAUUUAAUGAAGGGUGCUAGCGUAGUUACUUGUGAAGCAGACAGUACCUGGAAGCCACUUCUGCCAACAUGUGACCCAGUCUACUGUGGUCCUGCCCCACGCUUCCCUUUCGCUGAGGCUGGAAUGGCUGUGGGCAGCAGCUCCCCUGCUGGAACUCAGCUGAGGUAUUGGUGUAAACCGGGUUUUACUGCAGCAAGUGGGAAAUCCUCCAUUGUCACUUGUCUGACUGACACAACUUGGUCUGCAGACCCAGACUUCUGUAUACGACAGCAAUGCCCUCCUCCCACGAUAGCGAACGGGGACGUGAUUGCAGACAAUUUCCUCUUUGAGACCGUUGUGACAUUCGUCUGUCAUCCUGGGUAUGAAUUAAAGAGGUCAUCUUCUGCCAAGUGUGUGGCGUCAGGAAGUGGAGUUGCGUGGGACACGGCAUUUCCAUACUGUGAAAGGCAGCUCCCCGACGUUCUCUGUGAAGAGCCCCCCAUGAUUGACAACGGGAUUCACAACGGCACAAAGGGCAAACACUUUCUCCAAGGCUCCACUGUAACUUACAAAUGCAACGAUGGCUUCACCCUUGCCGGAGCAGCCUUUCUUCAGUGUAUUGCGGGAGAUCAGUACUGGGGAGUCUGGAGCAAACCUGCUCCUGAAUGCAGAGAUAAACACCUGCGGAACAGGGCUGUGCAGGGGUCCUGCUCUGUGUGUUGCUUGAAUUGUCUCCCACGUGCCUUGGCUCUGAUGUGCGAUGCUGCGUGUUGAUGAAUUACCAUGCUGAAUGGGUGCUGAGUUUCAUGUUUUGACUCACUUUCUUUCCAGGUGGAGCAAACAUGCUCUCUGUUGGAAUCUUCCCCCUCCUCCUGACGAUGCUGGUUAUGAACCUCUAGGGAAUGGGCACAGUGGGGAGGCACUGGGAAGAGACUGAGCGACUCCUCCAGGACUACUGAACUCCUGUAGACGUGUGGGACUUGAUCACAUUGAUCCCAGUGCUUUUCCCUCUUGUGAAACUGGCCUUGAAGUGGUGACCAACUGACUGUGGACAAAGCACUCGCACUUUUGGCCGCAGCAGCUGCGCUGGACACAACAGCUCCUGCUGGGGCUGGGCCGGGCAGCUCUCGGCCACCCAGGUGAGAAUGCUCUUCAGAAAUCAACUGUGGUUAUCUCCACGUUAUGUCUCAGUGAUGCCAAAGACUUUUGCACUGCAAUAGAACAGACUCAAGAAGAUGAUGCACUUUGAGCACCUUCGGCCCCGUUGAGGUCCUGUUGUGCCUCGUCCUGAUCAGGGUUCAUGGGUUUAAGUGUCCUGAGAUGAAAAGUGCUGCUGCUGCUGAGAGGAUUAACGGUGAAUAUCUUCAUGUGACUGAUGGUUACUUGCAAAAAAUCAAGUUUGAUGCAAAUAGGAUGCGUAAAUCAAGUAUUGUCUUUGGGUACUGAAAGCAUCGGAGGUGUUCCUAUAAAAGCGUGGUUGCAGCCGUGACUUCAAGGCAAGCCUGACCCGCUGUGCAAGCAGCAGUCCUUACAGUGCUUUUACCAGAGAGAAAAACAUUACUUACUUACAAUUACAGCCUUACUGCAAUGAGCUGCUAUUCUGACUCUUGCUGUGCGCUGACGUUAGCUUCAAAGUUCAGCUGAAGGUCUCUGCCCUGGCACUAUCUUUGUCUCACGUUGAGGUUUUGCAGAAACACCCUUCCUGUCUCUGCAGUGACUCAGAGCUUCUCUGGAAGCGGUGAAGCUUUCGGUGGGGUGAAAGCCCCAGGAGGAACCCAGCUGGGUGGGCGCUUGGGGCCGCGGAGCUCGUCCGCCGGCAGGUGGGGUCCGGGCUGAACACGGGACUCGCCGGUGUCUUGGCAGAUGCCACCAAACAUGAGAAAGUCGCUGCAUGUGAACCUUUUUUUUUGCUUUCUGCUUAAAUGCCACCUGCCUGGGGUGACUCUGAGGGCAGGGAAAUCGCUGUCUGAAUUUGUACUUAGAAGGGUUUUUCAGGUGGUGCUGUGCACCCCGAGCCCAGCGCAGCCCCGGGGAGGAAGAGCAGGAUUUGUCCUCUCGCUCUGCUUGCGGCAGGGCUGGUGGGUGGCUCUGAUGCACCCAGAGUAGGCAGAGGGCACAUUAAGCCAAAGCCUUAAUUUCCAUGGGGACAUAAACCCCACGUCUUUUCAUAGGAUCGUAGAGUGGUUUGGGUUGGAAGGAACCUUAAAGACCAUCUAAUUCCACCCCCCUGUGAAGGGCAGGGACGCCUCCCGCUGGAUCAGGCUGCGUUUUAUUUUCACCCUGCCUAAACUCACCUCCUUGAUUGCUGUGUUGAGGACGGUUUGCGAGGUGGGUAGAGGCGAGCGAGGUAGCCGGGCUUUGGUGGAGGACAGCUGAGGUGGUGGGACCUCGCUCACCUUGUCUAAACCAAAGCUAUGGGUAAAAGUCCCCUUGAUUUCUGUGGCUGACAGAAAGCCCACCUCGUAGUGGCUGUAUCCUCCCCUGGUUUGGACUCAGCCUUGCUAAAUGAUUAUUUAAUAAGCCGAAAGGGUUCGUAGCGUCUCAUACAAUGAGGUAAAGAUUUGAAGACUUCCUGGGAAUCCUGUUUAUAAGGAUUUAAAUUCAGCUGUUGCCUGAAUCCAGCUGGAGGUACCAGGACUUUUAGCUGCUGGUAGAGUAAGAUUUUGAGGCUCAGGGUUUUGUCUUGCGUAGAGGUUAAUCGCCCAUAUGUGAUCUUCUCGUGAUGCGCAGGGAACGGGAAGUAUUCCAAAUGUGUCUACUAUGUACUUUUUGUUUCUGCGUGUUUCCUCAGUGCUUUCUCAUUAACGGGAACAUGCACCUAGAGGGAAGACCGCAAAAAGCCAUUUCCAUCCACACGUUGCCCUUGUUCCAAACAAAGCCACUAAGUUCUCCCUUCCCAGCAGAGCCCUGUCCUGCUCCGGCACCACGAGACGCCAUUCUCGGAAGCCAGUCUUGCAGAAUAAGCACUUGCAAGUUGUUGGUUAUUUUUAUGUCUCUUACCGUAAGCCUUGUGAGUGACCAGAUGAGCCAAACGCAAACAUAAAGCCUCAUAGCUUGGUUCUGUUAUUUUAAUCCCACCAGAAUUGUUCCUACAGAGUGGUUUUUCCAAAGGAUUUAGGAGCUGAUUUGGGGAUGAACUUGAAAUGAUCUCCCUGCAACUAAAUGGAAGGAACUGUGAAUGCUGUGACAUGUAUGGGUGCAACCAACUAAGAUUUACCGUUGAAAAGUGCUUAUCUACUGUGUUUGUAACUGAGUUGUACGUCGUUUAUAAUCUGAAUGUAAUCAGUCAAGUGCAGUUUUGAAGACUACAUGUUGGGUGUGUAAAUACUAGAAGCUCUCUGUCAAUAAAAGGGGUAA
This is an RNA transcript of Cuculus canorus (common cuckoo), 4120 nucleotides long. It is a transcript of the gene named complement receptor type 1-like, with no coding region annotated. The transcript is spliced from 12 exons. The record is from RefSeq and is a predicted model, not a curated record. NCBI's taxonomy places the organism in Eukaryota, Metazoa, Chordata, Aves, Cuculiformes, Cuculidae.